CCUACGGGUGGCUGCAGUGAGGAAUAUUGGUCAAUGGGCGAGAGCCUGAACCAGCCAAGUCGCGUGAGGGAGUACUGCCCUAUGGGUUGUAAACCUCUUUUGUCGGGGAGCAAAAGCCGGACGUGUCCGGCGGUGAGAGUUCCCGAAGAAAAAGCAUCGGCGAACGCCGUGCCAGCAGGCGCGGUAAUACGGGGGAUGCGAGCGUUAUCCGGAUUUAUUGGGGUUAAAGGGUGCGCAGGCGGGGGCACAAGUCAGCGGUAAAAUCGCGGGGCUCAACCCCGCUCCGCCGUUGAAACUGUGUCCCUUGAGUGCGCGAAGGGUAGGCGGAAUGCGUGGUGUAGCGGUGAAAUGCAUAGAUAUCACGCAGAACUCCGAUCGCGAAGGCAGCCUACCGGCGCGCAACUGACGCUCAUGCACGAAAGCGUGGGUAUCGAACAGGAUUAGAUACCCGUGUAGUC
RNAcentral lists this ribosomal RNA (458 nucleotides) under uncultured bacterium. Its description in RNAcentral is "partial 16S ribosomal RNA". It matches the Rfam family "Bacterial small subunit ribosomal RNA", at positions 338 to 795 of the family's 1533-position model. The record is from RNAcentral.